RNAcentral lists this ribosomal RNA (305 nucleotides) under uncultured bacterium. Its description in RNAcentral is "bacterial SSU rRNA". It matches the Rfam family "Bacterial small subunit ribosomal RNA", at positions 334 to 656 of the family's 1533-position model. The record is from RNAcentral.
GUUGCCUACGGGGCGCAGCAGUGGGGAAUAUUGCACAAUGGGGGAAACCCUGAUGCAGCGACGCCGCGUGAGUGAAGAAGUAAUUCGUUACGUAAAGCUCUAUCAGCAGGGAAGAAAAUGACGGUACCUGAGUAAGAAGCCCCGGCUAACUACGUGCCAGCAGCCGCGGUAAUACGUAGGGGGCAAGCGUUAUCCGGAUUUACUGGGUGUAAAGGGAGCGUAGACGGAGGAGCAAGUCUGAUGUGAAAAUCCGGGGCCCAACCCCGGAACUGCAUUGGAAACUGUUUAUCUAGAGUGUCGGAGAG